AGCGUGGCUAGGGGCGGAGCGACUGCCGCGCGGUAGUCAGGGAGCUGUGCGGGUCCUGGUUGCAAGAGAGUCUGUUUGCCAGCCAACCCCAGCCCGGGAGGGGAUCAGGGCCACCAGGUUGCUGGAAGGAUUAAAGGACUGGAGGGCAUCAUAAACAUGAAGAAAAAUGUGGGAGAAUAUGAUAAUUGAAAGAAGAAGAGUUUGUGGUCAAAGGGAGAGAUUAAAGAUGUGCAACUUCAGAUUUCCUGGACCUGCCUACCAUCCUGAUCACAGACGUAGAAGGACCAGUUCCUGUUUUUAGAAAACCUGCCACCCUUACACGUGUCUGGACACACUUGAAUCCUGAAGGGAGCAUAGCUGAGCUUCAAAGGAGGAACCACGCUACAUCAAAUUGAAAAGCUGAAGUAGUAAAAGCUUCUGAACAAAUAAUUUUUAUAAACAAGAUUAAUGAAAAAGAGGUUGUUUGUGUAUUUAAAGUAAAUGGAGUUUAUAUGUAAAUAAUUUAAAAGCCUUGCCUUUAAACACUGGAAGGAAU
This 535-nucleotide long non-coding RNA is filed under the name Piliocolobus tephrosceles (Ugandan red Colobus). RNAcentral describes it as "lncRNA (ENSPTEG00000033435.1)". The record is from RNAcentral. Lineage: Eukaryota; Metazoa; Chordata; Mammalia; Primates; Cercopithecidae.